This 460-nucleotide ribosomal RNA is filed under the name uncultured bacterium. Its description in RNAcentral is "partial 16S ribosomal RNA". It matches the Rfam family "Bacterial small subunit ribosomal RNA", at positions 338 to 795 of the family's 1533-position model. The record is from RNAcentral.
CCUACGGGCGGCAGCAGUGAGGAAUAUUGGUCAAUGGGCGCGAGCCUGAACCAGCCAAGUAGCGUGAAGGAUGACUGCCCUACGGGUUGUAAACUUCUUUUAUAAGGGAAUACAGUGAGGCACGUGUGCCUUUUUGUCUGUACUUUAUGAAUAAGGAUCGGCUAAUUCCGUGCCAGCAGCCGCGGUAAUACGGAGUAUUCGAGCGUUAUCCGGAGUUAUUGGGUUUAAAGGGAGCGUAGGUGGGUUGUUAAGUCAGUUGUGAAAGUUUGCGGCGCAACCGUAAAAUUGCAAUUGAUACUGGCAGCCUUGAGUACAGUAGAGGGAGGCGGAAUUCGUGGUGUAGCGGUGAAAUGCUUAGAUAUCACGAAGAACACCGAUUGCGAAGGCAGCCUACUAAACUGCAACUGACAUUGAUGCUCGAAAGUGUGGGUAUCAAACAGGAUUAGAUACCCUAGUAGUC